RNAcentral lists this ribosomal RNA (253 nucleotides) under uncultured bacterium. RNAcentral's name for it is "partial 16S ribosomal RNA". It matches the Rfam family "Bacterial small subunit ribosomal RNA", at positions 524 to 776 of the family's 1533-position model. The record is from RNAcentral.
UACAGAGGUCCCAAGCGUUGUUCGGAUUCACUGGGCGUAAAGGGCGCGUAGGUGGCCAGGUAAGUUUGGUGUGAAAGCUCGGAGCUUAACUCCGAAAUGUCAUUGAAUACUAUCUGGCUGGAGGGUCGGAGGGGAGACUGGAAUUCUCGGUGUAGCAGUGAAAUGCGUAGAUAUCGAGAGGAACACCAGUGGCGAAGGCGAGUCUCUGGACGACUCCUGACGCUGAGGCACGAAAGCUAGGGGAGCAAACAGG